CCCUUUACUCAGUACUUUGUUGAAGCACCUUUGGCAGCGAUUACAGCCUCGAGUCUUCUUGGGUAUGACGCUGCAAGCUUGGCACACCUGUAUUUGGAGAGUUUCUCCCAUUCUUCUCUGCAGAUCUUCUCAAGCUCUGUCAGGUUGGAUGGGGAGAGUUACUGCACAGCCAUUUUCAGGUCUGACCAGAGAUGUUUGAUCCGGUUCAAGUCCGGGCUCUGGCUGGGCCACUCAAAGACAUGUCCUGAAGCCACUACUGCGUUGUCUUUGCUGUGUGCUUAGGGUCGUUGUCCUGUUGGAAGGUGAACCUUCGCCCCAGUCUGAGGUCCUGAGCACUCUGGAGCAGGUUUUCAUCAGGAUCUCUCUGUACUUUUCUUCAUUCAGCUUUGCCUCGAUCCUGACUGUGUCCCAGUCCCUACCAUUGAAAAACACCCCCACAGCAUGAUGCUGCCACCACCAUGCUUCACCAUAAGGAUGGUGCAAGGUUUCCUCCAGACAUGACACUUGGCAUUAAGGCCAAAGAUUUCAAUCUUGGUUUCAUCCACCAGAGACUCUGGUUUCUCAUGGUCUGGGAGUCUUUAGGUACCUAAUGGUCUGGGAGUCUUUAGGUACCUAAUGGUCUGAGAGUCUUUAGGUACCUAAUGGUCUGAGAGUCUUUAGGUACCUAAUGGUCUGGGAGUCUUUAUGUACCUAAUGGUCUGAGAGUCUUUAGGUACCUAAUGGUCUGAGAGUCUUUAGGUACCUAAUGGUCUGAGAG
Oncorhynchus tshawytscha (Chinook salmon) is the source of this 757-nucleotide long non-coding RNA. NCBI's taxonomy places the organism in Eukaryota, Metazoa, Chordata, Actinopteri, Salmoniformes, Salmonidae. The record is from Ensembl.